Molecule: non-coding RNA, 676 nt
Filed under: Pongo abelii (Sumatran orangutan)
Lineage: Eukaryota; Metazoa; Chordata; Mammalia; Primates; Hominidae
Source: RNAcentral
AUGGCCACCACACAUGUGAAAAGAUGCUCAACAUCUCUAAUCAUCAAGGGAAAUGCAAAUCAAAACCACAAUAGCACAAUGAAAUAUCAUUUCAGACCCCAUGUGAUGUUAGGAUGGCUACUUUCAAAAAAACAGAAAAUAAGUGUUGGUAAGGAAACACCUGCACACUGUUGAUGGGAUUAUAAAAUGGGCAGCCACUAUGGAAAAUAGUAUGGAGGUUCCAUAAAAAACUGAAAUUAGAAUUCCCAUAUGAUCCAAUCAUCUCCUACUGCAUAUAUAUCCAAAAGAAUUGAAAGCAGGAUCUUGAAAAGAUAUCUGCUCUCCUAUGUUCAUGCAGCAUUAUUCACAACAGCCAAGAUGUAGAGGUGAUUCAAAUGUCCAUCAGUGAAUGAAUAGAUAAAGAAAUGUGGCAUAUACAUACAAUGGAAUCUUAGCAUAAAAAAGAAAGAAUUCCUGUCAUAUGCUACAGCAUAGAUGAACCUUGAGGACCUUAUAGAGUGGUCCUAAUCUGCAUAUCCAAGAGCAAUGUAUGUGAGCCUACGUUUCCACAGGCUCACCCACAGAAUGUGUGCUCAAACUUUUGGAUUUUUGCCCAUCUACUAGAUCCCACCCCACAGGCCUUGGAAGCCUGAGGCAGUAUUCUUCUGGGAUAUUUCCAACUAGGCUUCCCAUGAGC